This 75-nucleotide transfer RNA is filed under the name Patescibacteria group bacterium. RNAcentral describes it as "tRNA-Arg". It matches the Rfam family "tRNA". From Rfam's summary of the family: Transfer RNA (tRNA) molecules are approximately 80 nucleotides in length. Their secondary structure includes four short double-helical elements and three loops (D, anti-codon, and T loops). Further hydrogen bonds mediate the characteristic L-shaped molecular structure. tRNAs have two regions of fundamental functional importance: the anti-codon, which is responsible for specific mRNA codon recognition, and the 3' end, to which the tRNAs corresponding amino acid is attached (by aminoacyl-tRNA synthetases). tRNAs cope with the degeneracy of the genetic code in two manners: having more than one tRNA (with a specific anti-codon) for a particular amino acid; and 'wobble' base-pairing, i.e. permitting non-standard base-pairing at the 3rd anti-codon position. The record is from RNAcentral.
GCCCCCGUAGUUCAACGGAUAGAACAUGCCCCUCCUAAGGGCAAAAUACAGGUUCAAUUCCCGUCGGGGGUACCA